CGGACGGGUGAGUAACACGUGGAUAACCUACCUAUAAGACUGGGAUAACUUCGGGAAACCGGAGCUAAUACCGGAUAAUAUAUUGAACCGCAUGGUUCAAUAGUGAAAGACGGUUUUGCUGUCACUUAUAGAUGGAUCCGCGCCGCAUUAGCUAGUUGGUAAGGUAACGGCUUACCAAGGCAACGAUGCGUAGCCGACCUGAGAGGGUGAUCGGCCGCACUGGGACUGAGACACGGUCCAG
RNAcentral lists this ribosomal RNA (241 nucleotides) under uncultured Staphylococcus sp. RNAcentral's name for it is "partial 16S ribosomal RNA". It matches the Rfam family "Bacterial small subunit ribosomal RNA", at positions 99 to 334 of the family's 1533-position model. The record is from RNAcentral. Lineage: Bacteria; Bacillati; Bacillota; Bacilli; Caryophanales; Staphylococcaceae.